Molecule: ribosomal RNA, 200 nt
Filed under: uncultured bacterium
Lineage: Bacteria
Description: partial 16S ribosomal RNA
Rfam family: Bacterial small subunit ribosomal RNA
Source: RNAcentral
AUUGAACGCUGGCGGCAGGCCUAACACAUGCAAGUCGAGCGGGGUUUUCGGACCUAGCGGCGGACGGGUGAGUAAUGCGUAGGAAGCUGCCCGAUAGAGGGGGAUACCAGUUGGAAACGACUGUUAAUACCGCAUAAUGUCUACGGACCAAAGUGUGGGACCUUCGGGCCACAUGCUAUCGGAUGCGCCUACGCGGGAUU